UAUUGGUUGUAUGUUACUAGUAUGUAGUAGAUAAUACUAGGUUCAUCUUGGUGUGAAGACUCCUUUGAAUGAGUUAGAUGGUAAUAUAAAUUUGCCACUAGAGAUCAUAUUUCAAUAGUAGAUAAUACUAGGUUCAUGUAUAUGUACUAAUGCUUCUAAUGCAUAGCAUGCAAGUGUUGUUUAAGUAAUAACAUAUAACCACGAAACCAGGUUUAGUUACACAUCAACUGUUGUAGAAAUGUCAGAAGACACUGCAUCUGAAGUGUAGGCACUUGAGCUUAAAAGCCUUGUAACAUUCAACUGCAAUGGCUUUUUAGACUUCGUUUGUGGUCUGAAUUCCAAACCAAGCUUAACCGCACCACAUAUGAGUAUGUUUUUAUUUUAGGUAGGUGGUUUGGAAUGCACUUUGCCGAACAAGGUAACCUUGUCCAGGCCAUUGCUACAAAAGUUGAAACAAGUAAUCCCUGUGGAUCACGAGAGUUAGUCCUCUUUUGCUUACCUUGCAUUCAAUACAGUUCGCUAGAAACUGCAUUGGAAGUCCAGCAAAAAAUCCAUGAAUUUUUUCCCACACCAUAGAUGCAGUGCUGAAGAAAGAAAGUCUAAAAUGAUCUUCUAAAUUGUUGUCAGCUCAAGGACUCCCAGCGUCGCGAUAUGUCAACAGUGACAAAAGUUGAUUAUGGAAAACCCUCCCUGGAAGCCUCAUUUUAUAGAGGUUUUGAAAUAUGCUGGAAUGGUUUUGUAUUUGUUCUGGACAGUCAUGCAACUAUUGAAUUAUUUAGUCAUUGUUCAUAGCACUCUCUAUGGAAUGGUUUUGUAUUAUUUAGUCAUUUUUUUAAAAACUUACUGCAGAGACAAUAAAACAACGUCUAGAAAAACAAAGGCAGAUAUUGGACAGGACUGUCCAUUUAUUUUGAAAGAUUUUCCAGACAAACCCAUCCAUGGCGAGGCCCAUCAUGUUAACCUCUAUUUGUUGCAAGGCUCAUCAGGUUAAUGCACUAGAAACUUUGAACCAUGGGUUCCAUCUCAACAAAAUGGGCACAUCAUACACAUUCGUAAUCUUUUGAGUCUAUUACCGGGUAUACUAUUUAAAACUGAAUGUUUGCAAUUCAAUUCACAUUUUUUCCUCAAUUCAAUUCACUUGUGCAUUCAAAUAAAACCUAUAUGUGCACACAAUUUUAACCAUACACAAAAAUAUCUUUCCGAGAAAAAGCUCUAAUGGGCCACAUCAAUGGGAACAAUGUAUACUGCUCCUAAAAUCUCUAAUAUUGCACAGUGUGGGCCAUUUGAUAUUUUGAUCAAGCUGACUUUUGUAUCUUCCCUUCAUGCCGGUGAUUAACAGGUUCGAUGAAUACAAUCCAUAGUGGCCCCACACACAAACUGGCAUCCAUCCCCUUGUUCCCCUAGGCUUGGCCCAUCUGCCUAAUUUUUAUUUUUAAUUUUUUUUGCCACAGGUCCUUAGAAUAGAGGAUAUGACUUAGUAGGCACAGUGGAUUUUACGUAUACAAUAUAGUGGGCCUCACAAGGCUGAGUGUUUUACAUGCAUUUCCUAGAACAGGCGUUGCAUAGGAUUCCGGUCCUCUUGUCUCAUAGGAUGUCAAGUGUGAAAAUAGACUUACUACGAUGCAAGCAGUAGAGCAUUAUUUGAUGAAUGAAUGAAUGAAUGAGGUGUACUUGCACCUCUAUGAAAUUCCAUAACUGUCAAAUCAAGGGACCCAAAACCACUACCUACCUCCAUUGCCCACACCCGUGUUUCGGGCAGUAGGCUCACACUCAGGCUGCAUUUGAUUCUUGAUAUGCAAGCACUUAUAUAAAUUAUACACCUAGCAUACGUUAGUUCAAAUAAAACUAACGAAAUUGUGGAACCCACCUUUGCUAAGUCACAUUCCAAAAUUAAGACUGCUUGAACACUCCUAGCCUCUGAUUUGUGGACACUUGGCAGUUGAAGCAGGUAAUCACAUAUUUUUCUUUUUCAAUCCAUUAAUCAGAUAAUCAUAUAAAAACUGUAAUUUUUGGUCCAUGAUACGUCUAUUUUGGUUUCCAUAAUUUCGACCGUUUAAUUUAAAUCAUUUGGGUGCCACCCAUCAACCAUCAUAUAAAUGGUUUAAAUUAUUAAUUCCUGCCGCAGAUCCAAAUUAAGUGAUCAAGCUUUUGGAAUUACACACAUGCAAUAUCCAGAUACUGGUCCCUACAGUGGAUGAUCAUAAAAAUCUUACCUAGAAGGUGAUCUUUACCACUGAUAAGAGGGAUGGUUACAAUCUACGUUUGGAAAAAAGUCCAACCAAUGGUGGAUGUAAAAUGGGCAAAGUGCAUCUGAUCAAUGGCUAGGAUCAUCUAAAUAGUUUAAUAAUUUGUGGCCUAUUCGUGGAACAUAUCAGACAUGUGGGCCAUAAUGAGGAGAAAAAUGUUUAUUUUGUACAAAAUAAAUUUUACAUGCUUGUGUAAUGCCUUUUCAUUGUCAGCAAACUAAUGCAAUACCAGGUGAAUUGCAUUCACCUGGUAUUGUCCUCGCCAAUUUGCAAAGGUUUGCAAGUAGCUUUAUUUUGUUGUAUGUAUAUAUAGAGAGUUUUUAUGCCUUUGUUUGCUAGGCUUAGUGAACAUUUCAAGGUUUUGGGUUAAAUGCAUUUUGAUUAUUUUCAGCCAGUUAAGACAUUACAUGGUUUUACUUGGUUAAAAUCCCUCAAUCCUCUAUAAAAUCAUAUUUCAUAUAGCAACAGUGGAAGUGGGAGCUGCAGAUACCAGAAGACCGUGGCCAGGCGAUCUCACAGGUGGCCUAUUGGGUUUGUCAAGAGAGGAUUUGUUCAUGGAAGGUUUGCAUUUCCUUCUGCUGCCACUCCUUCUGAAUUCCUUAUUCUGAACUAGAAUUAAUGGAAAUGAUUUUUGUAUUUUUGUUUAAACAUCUUAAUAUUGUGCCAUGUGCAUUUGUUGUAUGUGGCUGCAACACCAAGCCAGUGGUAGAAGCCUUCUGUGAGGCGGCAUUGCUUGCUCGGCUGAGAGGAGAGCAGUGGAGUGAGAUACAAGAGAAGGGGAGGCCUAAGAUUUUUGUGCUGUCAAGGAAUCUGAGGUCUGCCGCCUAUCGGCUUGCCCUUACAACCAUUGUAGUGGAACAGCUGGAAGACCUGGAGUUCACUGCAGAUGGAUCCUCUCCUGCCAAAUAAAUCCAUUGCAUUUCCAGGCCUUGGCACGCUUUCAGGAAGUCACCAACAGAUAUUGCCAAGAAAAGAAAUCUGUAUGUUUUGAUUCGCCCAACAUCUUUCCAUAUACAUUUUUUUAUAAAGCAGAAUUGUAUUAGAAAUUGCAGUCUUAAUUGAGUAUGGAGUCCUGAUGUCGCUUGUAAUCAUAAUUUGGUUCAGACUAGAAAUUAAAUAGGAAUUCGAGUUGUUAAUGGAAAUGUGCAUCUAGAUAUUGCUUG
Long non-coding RNA from Magnolia sinica, 3409 nucleotides. RefSeq lists it as uncharacterized. The record is from RefSeq and is a predicted model, not a curated record. The transcript is spliced from 3 exons. Lineage: Eukaryota; Viridiplantae; Streptophyta; Magnoliopsida; Magnoliales; Magnoliaceae.